GGGCAAAUACGUAGCAGCAGCGGGUGAAUGAGGUAGGGGGCAAGGUUUAAACGGAAUGCUUGGGAGUGAAGCGGCAGCAGGGGGUUUUUUAAGACAGGUGUGCAAUCCCCGGGCGUAACCUGGGAACGGCAUUUGUGACUGCAAGGCUGGAGUGCGGCAGAGGGGGAUGGAAUUCCGCGUGUAGCAGUGAAAUGCGUAGAUAUGCGGAGGAACACCGAUGGCGAAGGCAAUCCCCUGGGCCUGCACUGACGCUCAUGCACGAAAGCGUGGGGAGCAAACAGGAUUAGAUACCCUGUAGUC
This 300-nucleotide ribosomal RNA is filed under the name uncultured Methanocella sp. RNAcentral describes it as "bacterial SSU rRNA". It matches the Rfam family "Bacterial small subunit ribosomal RNA", at positions 495 to 795 of the family's 1533-position model. Lineage: Archaea; Methanobacteriati; Methanobacteriota; Methanomicrobia; Methanocellales; Methanocellaceae. The record is from RNAcentral.